RNAcentral lists this ribosomal RNA (740 nucleotides) under uncultured bacterium. RNAcentral describes it as "bacterial SSU rRNA". It matches the Rfam family "Bacterial small subunit ribosomal RNA", at positions 658 to 1399 of the family's 1533-position model. The record is from RNAcentral.
AAAGCAGAAUUUCUAGUGUAGAGGUGAAAUUCGUAGAUAUUAGAAAGAAUACCAAUUGCGAAGGCAGCUUUCUGGAUCAUUACUGACACUGAGGAACGAAAGCAUGGGUAGCGAAGAGGAUUAGAUACCCUCGUAGUCCAUGCCGUAAACGAUGUGUGUUAGACGUUGGAAAUUUAUUUUCAGUGUCGCAGCGAAAGCGAUAAACACACCGCCUGGGGAGUACGACCGCAAGGUUAAAACUCAAAUGAAUUGACGGGGACCCGCACAAGUAGUGGAGCAUGUGGUUUAAUUCGAAGAUACGCGCAGAACCUUACCAACACUUGACAUGUUCGUCGCGACUCUAAGAGAUUAGAGUUUUCGGUUCGGCCGGACGAAACACAGGUGCUGCAUGGCUGUCGUCAGCUCGUGUCGUGAGAUGUUGGGUUAAGUCCCGCAACGAGCGCAACCCUCACUUUUAGUUGCCAUCAUUAAGUUGGGCACUCUGAAAGAACUGCCAGUGAUAAGCUGGAGGAAGGUGGGGAUGACGUCAAGUCCUCAUGGCCCUUACGUGUUGGGCUACACACGUGCUACAAUGGCAUCUACAACAGGAAGCAAAACGGCAACGUUAAGCAAAUCCCGAAAAGAUGCCUCAGUUCGGAUUGCACUCUGCAACUCGAGUGCAUGAAGCUGGAAUUACUAGUAAUCGUGGAUCAGCGUGCCACGGUGAAUGCGUUCCCGGGUCUUGUACACACCGCCCGUCC